GAUGAACGCUGGCGGCGUGCUUAACACAUGCAAGUCGAACGAGAAGUGGAGACGGAAACCUUCGGGCGGAAGACUUUACUUCGAGUGGCGGACGGGUGAGUAACGCGUGGGUAACCUGCCUCAUACAGGGGGAUAACAGUUGGAAACGACUGUUAAUACCGCAUAAGACCACAGCACCGCAUGGUGCGGGGGUAAAAACUCCGGUGGUAUGAGAUGGACCCGCGUUCGAUUAGCCAGUUGGCGGGGUAACGGCCCACCAAAGCGACGAUCGAUAGCCGAUCCGGGAGGAUGACCGGCCAAAUUGGGAAUGAGGCAAGGCCCCAAAUCCUACGGGAGGGCGGAGUGGGGAAUAUUGGCAAAUGGGGGAAAACCUGAAGGAGCGAAGCCGGGGGGGGGAAGAAGUAAUUCGGUAAGGAAAGGCCUAUCAGGAAGGAAGAAAAUGAAAGUAACCUGGUAAGGAAGCCCGGCUAACUACGUG
This 478-nucleotide ribosomal RNA is filed under the name uncultured bacterium. RNAcentral describes it as "partial 16S ribosomal RNA". It matches the Rfam family "Bacterial small subunit ribosomal RNA", at positions 28 to 507 of the family's 1533-position model. The record is from RNAcentral.